RNAcentral lists this ribosomal RNA (1344 nucleotides) under uncultured bacterium. Its description in RNAcentral is "bacterial SSU rRNA". It matches the Rfam family "Bacterial small subunit ribosomal RNA", at positions 27 to 1381 of the family's 1533-position model. The record is from RNAcentral.
GGACGAACGCUGGCGGCGUGCUUAACACAUGCAAGUCGAACGGGGAUAUUUAGAAGAAGCUACUUGUAGUGGACUUUAAAUAUUCUAGUGGCGAACGGGUGAGUAACGCGUGAGGACUUACCCAUUUCCGGGGGAUAACAGUUGGAAACAGCUGCUAAUACCGCAUAAGCCUAAGGGUAAAAGAAGUAAUUCGGGAAUGGAGAGACUCGCGUCCUAUCAGCUAGUAGGUGAGAUAAGAGCUCACCUAGGCUAAGACGGGUAACCGGACUGAGAGGUCGAACGGUCACACUGGAACUGAGACACGGUCCAGACUCCUACGGGAGGCAGCAGUGGGGAAUUUUGGGCAAUGGGGGGAACCCUGACCCAGCGACGCCGCGUGAGUGAAGAAAUUCCUCGGAAUGUAAAGCUCUGUUGUAUGGGAAGAUAAUGACGGUACCAUACGAGGAAGCCCCGGCAAACUACGUGCCAGCAGCCGCGGUAAUACGUAGGGGGCAAGCGUUGUCCGGAAUUACUGGGCGUAAAGCGCACGCAGGCGGAAUUGUAAGUCCGUUGUAAAAUUCAGAGGCUCAACCUCUGUCUGUCGGCGGAUACUGCAAAUCUAGAGUAUGUGAGAGGGAAGUGGAAUUCCUGGUGUAGCGGUGAAAUGCGUAGAUAUCAGGAGGAACUCCGGUGGCGAAGGCGACUUCCUGGCACAAGACUGACGCUCAUGUGCGAAAGCUAGGGUAGCGAACGGGAUUAGAUACCCCGGUAGUCCUAGCCGUAAAUGAUGGAUACUAGGUGUGGGUGUCGCAGGGCAUCCGUGCCGCAGUUAACGCGUUAAGUAUCCCGCCUGGGGACUACGGUCGCAAGACUGAAACUCAAAGGAAUUGACGGGGGCCCGCACAAGCGGUGGAGCAUGUGGUUUAAUUCGAGGCAACGCGAAGAACCUUACCCGGUUUUGACAUCCACGGGAGGCUUCAGAGAUGGAGCUGUGCCGGCGUAAGCUGGAGCCGUGAGACAGGUGCUGCAUGGCUGUCGUCAGCUCGUGUCGUGAGAUGUUGGGUUAAGUCCCGCAACGAGCGCAACCCUUGCCUUCAGUUACCAUCAUUAAGUUGGGGACUCUGGAGGGACCGCUGCGGUAACAACGCAGAGGAAGAUGGGGACGACGUCAAGUCAUCAUGGUCCUUAUGGCCGGGGCUACACACGUGCUACAAUGGCAGUUACAGAGGGAUGCGAUUCAGUAAUGAGGAGCGAAACUCAGAAAAGCUGCCGCAGUUCGGAUUGAGGUCUGCAACUCGGCCUCAUGAAGUCGGAAUCGCUAGUAAUCGCGCAACAUCAUGGCGCGGUGAAUACGUUCCCGGGCCU